Molecule: ribosomal RNA, 115 nt
Organism: Chrysemys picta bellii (western painted turtle)
Lineage: Eukaryota; Metazoa; Chordata; Testudines; Emydidae
Source: Ensembl
CCUGGUAGCCAUUACAGGCUUGGUCUGAGCACCUGUUAGAUUUCAUUAGCUAAGCACGGCUGGCCUGAUAAGUACUUGGAUGGGUGAUCCAAGGAAACGUGAGGUGCUUUCGGGG